CGCUGGCGGCGUGCUUAACACAUGCAAGUCGAACGGAAAGGCCCUGCUUUUGUGGGGUGCUCGAGUGGCGAACGGGUGAGUAACACGUGAGUAACCUGCCCUUGACUUUGGGAUAACUUCAGGAAACUGGGGCUAAUACCGGAUAGGAGCUCCUGCUGCAUGGUGGGGGUUGGAAAGUUUCGGCGGUUGGGGAUGGACUCGCGGCUUAUCAGCUUGUUGGUGGGGUAGUGGCUUACCAAGGCUUUGACGGGUAGCCGGCCUGAGAGGGUGACCGGCCACAUUGGGACUGAGAUACGGCCCAGACUCCUACGGGAGGCAGCAGUGGGGAAUAUUGCACAAUGGGCGGAAGCCUGAUGCAGCAACGCCGCGUGCGGGAUGACGGCCUUCGGGUUGUAAACCGCUUUCGCCUGUGACGAAGCGUGAGUGACGGUAAUGGGUAAAGAAGCACCGGCUAACUACGUGCCAGCAGCCGCGGUGAUACGUAGGGUGCGAGCGUUGUCCGGAUUUAUUGGGCGUAAAGGGCUCGUAGGUGGUUGAUCGCGUCGGAAGUGUAAUCUUGGGGCUUAACCCUGAGCGUGCUUUCGAUACGGGUUGACUUGAGGAAGGUAGGGGAGAAUGGAAUUCCUGGUGGAGCGGUGGAAUGCGCAGAUAUCAGGAGGAACACCAGUGGCGAAGGCGGUUCUCUGGGCCUUUCCUGACGCUGAGGAGCGAAAGCGUGGGGAGCGAACAGGCUUAGAUACCCUGGUAGUCCACGCUGUAAACGGUGGGUACUAGGUGUGGGGUCCAUUCCACGGGUUCCGUGCCGUAGCUAACGCUUUAAGUACCCCGCCUGGGGAGUACGGCCGCAAGGCUAAAACUCAAAGGAAUUGACGGGGCCCCGCACAAGCGGCGGAGCAUGCGGAUUAAUUCGAUGCAACGCGUAGAACCUUACCUGGGUUUGACAUGGAUCGGGAGUGCUCAGAGAUGGGUGUGCCUCUUUUGGGGUCGGUUCACAGGUGGUGCAUGGCUGUCGUCAGCUCGUGUCGUGAGAUGUUGGGUUAAGUCCCGCAACGAGCGCAACCCUUGUUCACUGUUGCCAGCACGUUAUGGUGGGGACUCAGCGGAGACCGCCGGGGUCAACUCGGAGGAAGGUGGGGAUGACGUCAAGUCAUCAUGCCCCUUAUGUCCAGGGCUUCACGCAUGCUACAAUGGCUGGUACAGAGAGUGGCGAGCCUGUGAGGGUGAGCGAAUCUCGGAAAGCCGGUCUCAGUUCGGAUUGGGGUCUGCAACUCGACCUCAUGAAGUCGGAGUCGCUAGUAAUCGCAGAUCAGCAACGCUGCGGUGAAUACGUUCCCGGGGCUUGUACACACCGCCCGUCAAGUCAUGAAAGUUGGUAACACCCGAAGCCGGUGGCCUAACCGUUGUGGGGGAGCCGUCGAAGGUGGGACUGGUGAA
Molecule: ribosomal RNA, 1434 nt
Filed under: uncultured organism
Description: partial small subunit ribosomal RNA
Rfam family: Bacterial small subunit ribosomal RNA
Source: RNAcentral